Non-coding RNA from Petromyzon marinus (sea lamprey), 441 nucleotides. The record is from RefSeq and is a predicted model, not a curated record. NCBI's taxonomy places the organism in Eukaryota, Metazoa, Chordata, Hyperoartia, Petromyzontiformes, Petromyzontidae.
GCUGUGCUGGACUUGGCCAAGAACCGCCCAAGAUGCAAGCCCUGGCCACCUUCCUGGACGACAAGACGUGGCUCACCGGUGACCACGUGACGCAGACACUUGUGUACACAUGACGCAGACACUUGUGUACACAUGACGCAGACACUUGUGUACACAUGACGCAGACACUUGUGUACACGUGACGCAGCGUGUGAGACUCCGCGCGUGUGUGACUCCGCGCGUGACCCAGCUCACCUACGUGGACCUGGUGCUCUACGAUGUUCUGGAUCAACAUCGGCUGUUCGAGCCGAGCCUCCUGCUCCCUCACCCCAACCUGGGCCAAUUCCUCCAGCGCGUCGAGGCCCUGGACAAGAUCUCUGCCUUCAUGAAGUCGAGCCGAAUCAUCCAAUCGCCCAUCAACAACCGUGCUGCAUCAUGGGGGAUCAAAAAGGAAUGAGCCAA